CGCGGGCAGUGGGGGCGCUCGGGGCGAGGUUCGGGACCUGGUGGCCGCGGCGAGGGCUCAGGCGACGUUAUUUCUACAUGACGGCAGAGUGUACCUUUAUCUGUCCGCAUUAACCUGUUGGACCGGCAGAGCACUCCCUUAAAAGGAACUGUUGCUUGGGGACUAGGCAGCUGAGGCAGACCUUUGGGGUCAUUUCUCCCUGUGUGCUGUCAGAGGAAACGCUGCGUGGCUCAUGCUAAUGGUGUCACUGCGAAUCCUGAUUCUGGAUUUCUGUUUGUGAGGCGAGUGAAAAUGCCCUCGUGCACAAAGGCUGCGGGUGUGAAAGGCAGACGUUCUAUGGAAAGUAAAGAGCUGUGGUCUGGAAGAGGCCACUUCCUUCAUGUCUUUCGUCGGUGAUUCGUGUGUGAGGCCCAGAGCUACCCCACCAGUCGUAAUGGCUCGUUGAGAUGUGCCUGGCUUGACGUCCGGGACUCCUUCGGAACACACAGGCUGACUAAACACCGGGGGACUUUGGUGCUGAGCAGCUGAGAUGGGAAGCCUCUGAGUCUAUACUACUGCAGUUUGUUUCUGUGUGUGCAGUGCAGUCAUUAUUGUACAUGUAAAGCUUCCACUGGUGUGGUUCAGUUUUUUCUAAUGUGAAUUUUGUUGAUUGAGUAAAAAAUUAUUAUUA
Chinchilla lanigera (long-tailed chinchilla) is the source of this 670-nucleotide long non-coding RNA. RefSeq lists it as uncharacterized. The transcript has 2 exons. NCBI's taxonomy places the organism in Eukaryota, Metazoa, Chordata, Mammalia, Rodentia, Chinchillidae. The record is from RefSeq and is a predicted model, not a curated record.